ACCAGCAACCUGGGGGAAUGAAAAUGAAAAAGUUCUAAAAGAAUCUAGAAUGAAACAAUUAAAACUUUUAAAUAUAAUUCUAGGUAGAAUAUUGAUAAUGACAACUUUCUAUCUAUAUGUCUUGACCAAAUCUUGUGCCAGCAGUCGCGGCAACACAAGGAAGACAAGUGUUAUUCAUCUUAAAUCGGUUUAAAGGGUACCUAGACGGUAAAUUAGGCCUUAACAGGGAACGUUUUUACUAGAGUUAUAAAUAGGAGAGGAAUAUGUCAGAAUUAGCAGAGUAGAGAUGAAAUUUUUUGAUACUGUUAAGACUGGUAAUGGCAAAAGCAAACCUUUAUAUAUUAACUGACGUUGAGGGACGAA
Molecule: ribosomal RNA, 363 nt
Filed under: Constrictolumina planorbis
Lineage: Eukaryota; Fungi; Ascomycota; Dothideomycetes; Trypetheliales; Trypetheliaceae
Description: mitochondrial SSU rRNA
Rfam family: Bacterial small subunit ribosomal RNA
Source: RNAcentral